AAGCCUCAAGUUAUGUGUGACAACCCCCUGAUUU
Molecule: ribosomal RNA, 34 nt
Filed under: Anopheles sinensis
Lineage: Eukaryota; Metazoa; Arthropoda; Insecta; Diptera; Culicidae
Description: partial 28S ribosomal RNA
Source: RNAcentral